Molecule: ribosomal RNA, 686 nt
Filed under: uncultured Bacteroidota bacterium
Lineage: Bacteria; Pseudomonadati; Bacteroidota
Description: bacterial SSU rRNA
Rfam family: Bacterial small subunit ribosomal RNA
Source: RNAcentral
CGCACGGGUGCGUAACACGUAUGCAACCUACCUUAUACUGGGGAAUAACUUCGAGAAAUCGGCGCUAAUACCCCAUAACACUGCGAAGAGGCAUCUCUUUGCAUUUAAAGCUCCGGCGGUAUAAGAUGGGCAUGCGUCCAAUUAGCUAGUUGGUGAGGUAACGGCUCACCAAGGCUACGAUUGGUAGGGGUUCUGAGAGGAUGAUCCCCCACACUGGUACUGAGACACGGACCAGACUCCUACGGGAGGCAGCAGUGAGGAAUAUUGCGCAAUGGACGAAAGUCUGACGCAGCCAUGCCGCGUGCAGGAUGACGGCCCUAUGGGUUGUAAACUGCUUUUGUAUGGGAAUAAACCCUUCUACGUGUAGAAGGCUGAAGGUACCAUAAGAAUAAGCACCGGCUAACUCCGUGCCAGCAGCCGCGGUAAUACGGAGGGUGCAAGCGUUAUCCGGAUUUAUUGGGUUUAAAGGGUCCGUAGGCGGGCCGAUAAGUCAGUGGUGAAAGCCCAUAGCUCAACUAUGGAACUGCCAUUGAUACUGUCGGUCUUGAGUAUAUGUGAUGUUGGCGGAAUGUGUAGUGUAGCGGUGAAAUGCUUAGAUAUUACACAGAACACCGAUUGCGAAGGCAGCUGACAAAUAUAUAACUGACGCUGAGGGACGAAAGUGUGGGGAUCAAACAGGAUUAGAU